RNAcentral lists this unclassified non-coding RNA (336 nucleotides) under soil metagenome. Its description in RNAcentral is "partial contains 5.8S ribosomal RNA, internal transcribed spacer 2, and large subunit ribosomal RNA". The stretch from base 1 to 120 matches the Rfam family "5.8S ribosomal RNA", at positions 35 to 154 of the family's 154-position model. The record is from RNAcentral.
GAUGAAGAACGCAGCGAAAUGCGAUAAGUAAUGUGAAUUGCAGAAUUCAGUGAAUCAUCGAAUCUUUGAACGCACAUUGCGCCCGCCAGUAUUCUGGCGGGCAUGCCUGUUCGAGCGUCAUUUCAACCAUCAAGCCCCCAGCUUGUGUUGGGGACCUGCGGCUGCCGCAGGCCCUGAAAAGCAGUGGCGGGCUCGCUGUCACACCGAGCGUAGUAGCAUACAUCUCGCUCUGGGCGUGCUGCGGGUUCCGGCCGUUAAACCACCUUCAUAACCCAAGGUUGACCUCGGAUCAGGUAGGAAGACCCGCUGAACUUAAGCAUAUCAAUAAGCGGAGGA